CUUUGAUGCUUACGAGGACUCAUCGGCCAGAAGUGAUUCUAAAGGGUUUUGGGGUGUUCUUGCUAGGAAAGCUAAAGCAAUUCUUGAGGAGGAUAAUAAGUCAUCACAAUUAGAAACACCUGAAAGGUCAAGGUUCCAGAUGCCAGAUACCUCUGUAGGUGGCCAGUCUCAGCAAUCGAACCUAACACCUGAUAGGAAAAUGGAUAAUCCGAGAUUACGGAAGGGCCUUGAUAAAAUCACAUCUUCCCUUAAUCAGAUAGGUGACACCUUUGAAAAGGCUUUUGAGGUAAGAAUUCUAGAUUAUUUUCUGUAAAAUGCAUAUUUUAUGGAAUUUCUUUUGUUAGCUUGCUUGUUCAACUCUAGCAAGUUCACUUCCACUUGAUAAACUCAUUAUUUUGAUAUCUGUUGACUUGACAAGGUAAUGAUUACCAAUUAACCAUCUGUUCACCUAGUGUAGGCUUGCUCAGUUACUCUGAUUGACGUGUAACCAGCAUUCUUACGUGGUACACUUAAAUAAAAAGUCCUGCCUACUUUGUUUAUAAGAUUUUGGCUGAAAUUUCUUAGGCAAAAGUAAACUUUGAUCUAUUAGUCUUAAGUUUAUCUAUGGACUUCUGUAGUAUGAAAGAGAGGUCUGAUUUGAUGCUUUAUUGUUUAGAAUUAAACUACUUGUCUGCUAUUACAUCCCUUCAGAAUUCCUCAAUGUGCUUGAUUUCCUUCCACAUUCAAAGGCACGUGUCAUUUCAUGACCCUCCUGAUCAUGUGAAAGUCCCUGGGACUAACUCAGGUGUGGGAGUAGGGUGGAUUUCAGUAGAAGUUAUAAGAGUAGAGCCACAGUACUCUUCACUUGUUAUUUGCACCAAAAAGAAGUCAUGGUUCUUCCCUGUUUAUGUGAAAAGCCCUCAGAGUAGUUCAAAGCUGAGCUCUCUCUCAAGUUUUUUUAACUUUGGUUUGAGGUUGGACCAGCAAUUUUUUUAUCGGUUUCCUUCUGCAGAUGGUAAAUAGACAAGUUAGAUUCGAGCAAGAAAUGAGUAGAUAACUGAAACCAGCAAAAGUUUGCUUUCAUAUUUAAGCAUUCGCUAACGUGGUUUUAGGUAUACAGACUAAAUUUUCUUACUUCAACUUAACUGCUUGAUUUUCCAGGAAGGUCGCACUAUUGUGGAAAAUAAGACUGCAGAUAUCAUCCAAGAAACUCGCAAACUGCAAAUUAGGAGAAAGGGAAGCAGUCUUGUGGAACAAAAUCAAGCUUCUGGUGCAAAUAGUUCAUGGCAGCAACCCAUGAUGCAGCCUAAUCAGCCGCAGAAUCAAAUGAACCAUGAAAAUCAAUUGAAGGCAUCUCGCGACGUUGCAAUGGCAACUGCUGCAAAAGCAAAACUUCUUCUUCGGGAACUGAAGACAGUUAAAGCAGACCUGGCUUUUGCAAAACAAAGAUGUUCACAACUAGAGGAAGAGAACAAAAUCCUGAGGGAGAGUCGUGAAAAGGGAGGCAACCCAGCAGACGAUGAUUUGGUACCAUAUAUUUGUAUUUUAUUAUAAUCCUUUAAUGGCAAUGACCUUAAAGUAAGACUGAUGCUUGCCGUUUAUCCCUAAUUUUGUAGUUUAGAUGAUAACUUUAAGCUGAUGCCUGAUUGUGCUGACCUUUUGGUUCUUGAGUUUUUGCACUGUUUUAUCUGUAGGAAGCUCGCACAUUCAUGUAUCUUAAGUUGUGCUUCAACUGGUGUUGGAUGAUUGUGGCUGUGGUUAACUAACUUGAUGCACAUGCUUGUGAUCUCAGAUUCGCCUUCAACUGGAGACACUUUUGGCUGAGAAGGCUCGUUUGGCACAUGAGAAUUCAAUAUUUGCACGUGAGAACCGGUUUCUGAGGGAAAUUGUUGAAUACCACCAACUCACCAUGCAAGAUGUUGUUUAUUUGGACGAAGGCAGUGAAGAAGUCACUGAAGUUUACCCAAUUGCAAAGAUGCUUUCUAUUUCCCCACCCUCACCAGUUUCUCCACCCUUACCUUCUGAGAUUACUGCAUCUGCAAGCCCACCAGCAACAAAGGAAAUAUUUCCUGUGCCUAACCUACCACAAGAAAUGCAGGAAGCUUCAGGAAAUGAUGCUUCACCAAGUUCAGUUACACCUGUAGUUGAGGAAGAAGACGC
RNAcentral lists this unclassified non-coding RNA (2139 nucleotides) under Hevea brasiliensis (rubber tree). The record is from RNAcentral. Lineage: Eukaryota; Viridiplantae; Streptophyta; Magnoliopsida; Malpighiales; Euphorbiaceae.